GUUGUGCCCCGGGUUGCAAAAACAAAUAACAUUAGAGUUUGUAAUGCACAUUUUGUUCUAGGAAAACCAUUUUAGUACACUGGAGAAACACACCCAGACUGGGCCCCAUCCCUGAAUCUUGACAAAGUGUAUGUUAACGCUAAGUCAGCCAUGGAUAGAGAGUCAAGAAGAGUAAUUUUAAAUGUUCAAGAGGUCUCAAGGCCCUUGUAAGCCUUUAAAUCUUCAUGCAUGUAUGGAGACUUGGAACAUAGCAGGUAAUUUACCAAAUCAAGAUUGGUUACCAGUGGCAUUUUUCCUGCGAUGCUAGGUCCAUUGCACCAAUACUCUUC
Long non-coding RNA from Daphnia magna, 329 nucleotides. RefSeq lists it as uncharacterized. The transcript has 3 exons. NCBI's taxonomy places the organism in Eukaryota, Metazoa, Arthropoda, Branchiopoda, Diplostraca, Daphniidae. The record is from RefSeq and is a predicted model, not a curated record.